UACCAGCACCCCGAGUGGUCGGGACGAUUAUUGGGCCUAAAGCAUCCGUAGCCGGCCUUACAAGUCCUCCGUUAAAUCCAGCUGCUUAACAGAUGGGCUGCGGAGGAUACUAUAAGACUAGGAGGCAGGAGAGGCAAGCGGUACUCAGUGGGUAGGGGUAAAAUCCGUUGAUCCAUUGAAGACCACCAGUGGCGAAGGCGGCUUGCCAGAAUGCGCUCGACGGUGAAGGAUGAAAGCUGGGGGAGCAAACAGG
RNAcentral lists this ribosomal RNA (253 nucleotides) under uncultured bacterium. Its description in RNAcentral is "partial 16S ribosomal RNA". It matches the Rfam family "Archaeal small subunit ribosomal RNA", at positions 474 to 727 of the family's 1478-position model. The record is from RNAcentral.